Molecule: ribosomal RNA, 505 nt
Filed under: uncultured bacterium
Lineage: Bacteria
Description: partial 16S ribosomal RNA
Rfam family: Bacterial small subunit ribosomal RNA
Source: RNAcentral
GACGAACGCUGGCGGCGUGCCUAAUACAUGCAAGUAGAACGCACAGUUUAUACCGUAGCUUGCUACACCAUAGCCUGUGAGUUGCGAACGGGUGAGUAACGCGUAGGUAACCUGCCUGGUAGCGGGGGAUAACUAUUGGAAACGAUAGCUAAUACCGCAUAAUAUUGAUUAUUGCAUGAUAAUUAAUUGAAAUGUGCAAUUGCACCACUACCAGAUGGCCCUGCGUUGUAUUAGCUAGUAGGCGAGGUAACGGCGCACCUAGGCGACGAUGCAUAUCCCACAGGCGUGGACGGGCGGCCACACUGGGAGGGCGACCCGGCCCAGACUCCGACGGGAAGCAGCAAGAGGGCAACUUCGGCAAUGGGCGAAAGUCUUAGCGAACAACGCGGCGGGAGUGAAGAAGGUUUUCGGGUCGUAAAGCACUGUUGUCAGAGAAGAAACCGUGUGCGACUGGAAAGUUCACACUGUGACGGUAACUUACCAGAAAGCGACGGCUAACUACGUG